This is a long non-coding RNA of Lepus europaeus (European hare), 1922 nucleotides long. RefSeq lists it as uncharacterized. The transcript is spliced from 3 exons. Lineage: Eukaryota; Metazoa; Chordata; Mammalia; Lagomorpha; Leporidae. The record is from RefSeq and is a predicted model, not a curated record.
GAGUGACUUCCACUGGGCCGAGGAGCGGAGAAACGGCGGCGGGCUCCGCAGAAAACUCCAAAGAGACUGAUUCCCGGCGAGCCAGGAGAGAGAAAUGAGAAAGCUUUUCAGAGCCACCCCAAGAUGGCGAGCAGAACAGGAAACGACCUCUCAGAUGUCCAUGGCCACUGUGUGCUGUUGAAACAAGUCUCAAGGGAAGUCCCUUUCCUGACUGCUGAUAACAGAGGAAGAGGAAGGAAUGCCAUGCUAUGCACCACACGCUUUCUUCUCCCACUGCCCCUUACAGUUGAUACCUCUUCACUCCAAUCACAAUUCCCUAUGGGGAUUAAAAGAAGUUAGACAGUUGCUGCCAGAGUCCUGACAUAUGAAUGUUGACCGUGUGAUACAUCGUGGCCAUGAUGUGUUGAUGCAAACAUUCCAAGAAAUACCUGGGCUUCAUUGGACUUUGUCAGUGCAUAGUCAAAGAAACUGAGUAUCUUCGUUUCGGCUUUGCUGAGGAUUAUGGCUGAAUGCUUAGGUUAAGAAUGCAUUGAUAAAAUAGUUGAAUUGGUCAUCCAUAACUAAGCCCCAGAACUGAAGGGCUAAGUUGAAGUUAUUGUACAAACUACACUGGCUUUAGAAAUAACAUUUCCACCUGGGAAGCAUUUGUUUCAGCCAAAUAAGAAAAUGUGGACUGGCCCAAACGUGGGAAAAGGCAUACAAUGGACCUGCCUACGGGUGUUAGAAUCUAAUUAUAAAAUAGAGUUCAGAGUAUUCGUUUAUUUAUUCAUUUCAUUUUUCCACCUGUAAAAGUUCUACUUUGCUUCAAAAUCCAGCUCAGAUAGCACUUCCGUGUGAAUUCAUCCUGUACCCUUCCAAGCAAUAUUAAUUAUUUUCUCCCCUGGAUUCCCAUAGCAUUUUGUUCAAAUUGCUGGCAUAGUGACAUCACAAUAAAUUAUAGUUCGUGAGUUUCUCUGUGAUAAAUUGUGAGCACUUGAUUGUAUAGUGUCUGGAAAGGUAAAAAUUAAUAAAAUGCAACUCUUACCUUAAAUAGCAUAUAAUUGAUUGUGAGCACAUAGCUCUAAAUCUCAGAAUGAAACCAUCAUUGACAUUUUAAUAAGAACUUGAUACUGGACACAGAGAUUAAUAGAAUGGAAGAAGAAACUGGAAAGGUAAGAACAGAGCAGAGGCAAAAGGCCUUGAACAGUAUACCAAGGAUAUUGUUCUUCAUCCAGUAAGCACUGGGGAGCACUGAAGGUUUUUGAAGAGGGGGCAUGACCACCUGGACAGAGCUAUAUUUUAAGAAAGUAGCAGAGGCACCAGUGUAGGGAGUAAACUGGCAACUGAGAGGCUGAUAAGAGAGACCAGCCAAGAACCAGGAAGGCCCUAAAUAGCGGAGCAGAAAAAAAAAAAAAAUAGAAAGAAUUGCAUAUGUUAGACAUUGUGGAAGUAGAAUCAAAAGAACCCAGAAAUUGCUUGAAUAUUCAGAAUGAGGGAGCAAGAAAAGUCUGGAAAAGGAGAAGGCAGGACAGAGAUUUGCAAUGUCCACCACUGGGCUCAUCAUCAUUGCAGUGCAACAGGUGCACCCACCAAAAAUAUUAACAGAGAAGCAAACACCACUAAAAAUGAGUCACCCAAGAGGUUUUCUACUUUAUACUUCGUUAUCUGGAAGAGCAAAGAUUCUAAUCAGAAAGAAGUUAUCUUAGACUUACUCUUUAGCAGUCGAAAAUCCAAGUAAAUACAACUGGAUAGAACUCAGAGUAAAUCGGUAAGACACCAGUCUGCAUGAGCAUGCUUUCCCAAAUUUCACUCCAAACAUAGCUUGAGCAUUAAUAUUUAAGACAGUAAAUGUUCAUUUUUACUAUAACUAAAUGCGCAAGAAGUUCAACAGUCCUAAGGGCCAACAAUUCUGUAAAAGAAAACAGGUUUCUAAAAAUAAUGUC